GAUGAACGCUGGCGGCGUGCCUAAUACAUGCAAGUCGAGCGAACAGACGAGGAGCUUGCUCCUCUGACGUUAGCGGCGGACGGGUGAGUAACACGUGGAUAACCUACCUAUAAGACUGGGAUAACGUCGGGAAACCGGAGCUAAUACCGGAUAAUAUAUUGAACCGCAUGGUUCAAUAGUGAAAGACGGUUUUGCUGUCACUUAUAGAUGGAUCCGCGCCGCAUUAGCUAGUUGGUAAGGUAACGGCUUACCAAGGCAACGAUGCGUAGCCGACCUGAGAGGGUGAUCGGCCACACUGGAACUGAGACACGGUCCAGACUCCUAAGGGAGGCAGCAGUAGGGAAUCUUCCGCAAUGGGCGAAAGCUUGACGGAGCAACGCCGCGUGAGUGAUGAAGGUCUUCGGAUCGUAAAACUCUGUUAUUAGGGAAGAACAAAUGUGUAAGUAACUAUGCACGUCUUGACGGUACCUAAUCAGAAAGCCACGGCUAACUACGUG
Molecule: ribosomal RNA, 497 nt
Filed under: uncultured bacterium
Lineage: Bacteria
Description: partial 16S ribosomal RNA
Rfam family: Bacterial small subunit ribosomal RNA
Source: RNAcentral